GACGAGCGCUGGCGGCGUGCUUAACACAUGCAAGUCGAACGGUGAAGCGCUUGCCUUUUUGGUGGGUGUGGAUGAGUGGCGAACGGGUGAGUAACACGUGAGUAACCUGCCCUCUUCUUCUGGAUAACCUCAUGAAAGUGGGGCUAAUACGGGGUAUUCCGGGUCUGUCGCAUGGCGGGUUUGGGAAAGAUUGCGCCUUUGGGUGUUUUCGGUGGGGGAUGGGCUCGCGGCCUAUCAGCUUGUUGGUGGGGUGAUGGCCUACCAAGGCGGUGACGGGUAGCCGGCCUGAGAGGGUGGACGGCCACACUGGGACUGAGACACGGCCCAGACUCAUGCGGGAGGCAGCAGUGGGGAAUAUUGCACAAUGGGCGCAAGCCUGAUGCAGCGACGCCGCGUGAGGGAUGGAGGCCUACGGGUUGUGAACCUCUUUCGCCAGUGAAGCAGGCCUGCUCCUGUGUGGGUGGGUUGACGGUAGCUGGAUAAGAAGCGCCGGCUAACUACGUG
RNAcentral lists this ribosomal RNA (504 nucleotides) under uncultured bacterium. RNAcentral describes it as "partial 16S ribosomal RNA". It matches the Rfam family "Bacterial small subunit ribosomal RNA", at positions 28 to 507 of the family's 1533-position model. The record is from RNAcentral.